RNAcentral lists this ribosomal RNA (799 nucleotides) under uncultured Rhizophagus. RNAcentral describes it as "SSU rRNA". It matches the Rfam family "Eukaryotic small subunit ribosomal RNA", at positions 314 to 1114 of the family's 1831-position model. The record is from RNAcentral. Lineage: Eukaryota; Fungi; Glomeromycota; Glomeromycetes; Glomerales; Glomeraceae.
AUCAACUUUCGAUGGUAGGAUAGAGGCCUACCAUGGUGGUAACGGGUAACGGGGAGUUAGGGCACGACUCCGGAGAGGGAGCCUGAGAAACGGCUACCACAUCCAAGGAUGGCAGCAGGCGCGCAAAUUACCCAAUCCCGACACGGGGAGGUAGUGACAAUAAAUAACAAUACGGGGUUCUUUAGGAUCUCGUAAUUGGAAUGAGUACAAUUUAAAUCUCUUAACGAGGAACAAUUGGAGGGCAAGUCUGGUGCCAGCAGCCGCGGUAAUUCCAGCUCCAAUAGCGUAUAUUAAAGUUGUUGCAGUUAAAAAGCUCGUAGUUGAAUUUCGGGGUCAGUAGGUUGGUCGUGCCACCGGUACGUACUGGUCUCACUGAUUCCUCCUUCCUGAUGAGCUGUAAUGCCAUUAAUUUGGUGUUGCAGGGAAUCUGGACUGUUACUUUGAAAAAAUUAGAGUGUUUAAAGCAGGCUAACGCUUGAAUACAUUAGCAUGGAAUAAUGAAAUAGGACGUUCGAUCCUAUUUUGUUGGUUUCUAGGAUUGACGUAAUGAUUAAUAGGGAUAGUUGGGGGCAUUAGUAUUCAAUUGUCAGAGGUGAAAUUCUUGGAUUUAUUGAAGACUAACUACUGCGAAAGCAUUUGCCAAGGAUGUUUUCAUUAAUCAAGAACGAAAGUUAGGGGAUCGAAGACGAUCAGAUACCGUCGUAGUCUUAACCAUAAACUAUGCCGACUAGGGAUCGGAUGAUGUUAAUUUUUUAAUGACUCAUUCGGCGCCUUACGGGAAACCAAAGUGUUUGGGUUC